AAGCAUAUCAGUGGGGCACUUUCGGAUCAAUUGUUUGUACCUUUCCCAAGCUUCAUAGAGGGAUUCUCCUUCCUUCUGUCUGAAGGUUUGGACUUCAACUCUAAGCUU
Arachis duranensis is the source of this 108-nucleotide small nucleolar RNA. The record is from RefSeq and is a predicted model, not a curated record. NCBI's taxonomy places the organism in Eukaryota, Viridiplantae, Streptophyta, Magnoliopsida, Fabales, Fabaceae.